AUGGCGGAGGUCGCGCCCGUUGAUCAGGGGAAGAAGGAGGAGGAGGAGUUCAGCACGGGGCCCCUCUCCAUUCUCAUGCUCAGCGUCAAGAACAACACUCAGGUGCUUAUCAACUGCAGGAACAACAAGAAGUUGCUUGGUCGCGUGAGGGCAUUUGAUCGUCAUUGCAACAUGGUUCUUGAGAACGUCAGGGAGAUGUGGACUGAGGUUCCAAAGACUGGUAAAGGCAAGAAGAAGGCUCUCCCGGUGAACAAGGACAGGUUCAUAAGCAAGAUGUUCCUCCGCGGGGAUUCGGUCAUCAUCGUCCUCAGGAACCCGAAAUGA
RNAcentral lists this ribosomal RNA (324 nucleotides) under Triticum aestivum (bread wheat). RNAcentral's name for it is "partial small subunit ribosomal RNA". Lineage: Eukaryota; Viridiplantae; Streptophyta; Magnoliopsida; Poales; Poaceae. The record is from RNAcentral.